Molecule: ribosomal RNA, 252 nt
Filed under: uncultured bacterium
Lineage: Bacteria
Description: partial 16S ribosomal RNA
Rfam family: Bacterial small subunit ribosomal RNA
Source: RNAcentral
ACGGAGGGUGCAAGCGUUAUUCGGAAUUACUGGGCGUAAAGGGCGCGCAGGCGGCACUUUAAGUCAGGCGUGAAAGCCCGGGGCUCAACCCCGGAAGUGCGUUUGAUACUAAAGAGCUCGAGUACGGGAGAGGGAAGUGGAAUUCCUGGUGUAGAGGUGAAAUUCGUAGAUAUCAGGAGGAACACCGGUGGCGAAGGCGACUUCCUGGACCGAUACUGACGCUGAGGCGCGAAAGCGUGGGGAGCAAACAGG